UUUUUUUAAAACAUUAAAAUAUUUUUUCAGCUACUCAAUCUUUGGAAAACUCUGCUACUCAAACUCAAACCCUUAUCACAAAUGAAAGAGGGCGCUCAAAAUUUCAUCAGCCCCGCGAAUCUUUUCACAACCCUAACCUAAAGCCCUUUCAGCGUUAAUUCGUGUGUCCUUCUUUGUCUUUCCAUUUGCAUCUCCUCACAUGAGUUAGAUUUUUCUUUUCUACCUUGUUAAAGUCAUCGGCAAGUGAAAAUUAAGGUGGUUGUUAUGAGUCUUCUAUUGAAUUUCAGAAUCGUAAAAUCAUUUUUCUCACACAUCUCAUGUUCAAAGAAAUUUAGUGAAGGUAAGAUGUUUGUUUCAAUUUGGGGAUUUAGGGUUUAUUCGUUUUAAUGCCCAGGGAAUCAUUUGUUGUUUGUGUUUGUUUUGAUUCUGGGAUUUAUGGUUUUUUUAUUUCCAAACUACUGGUAUUUCAUAUGUUUAUUUCAGGAUGAAUUUUUUGGUUUGAGAGAAAUGUUCCAGACUAUGGAUAUUGAUAGAAGUGGUGUAAUAACUUUCAGUGAACUCAAAGCUGGUCUAAGAAGAUAUGUGUCUAUCAUUUGGUUUGGUUCUGAUUUGCAGAGAGUAAGAGAAAGAGGGUUUCAUUGAAAAAGAGGAUUCUGAUUUGCAGAGAGUAAGAGUAAGAGUAAGAAGAUUCUGAUUUUAAGUUGAUAGUUCAGAUAGGUCUUUUUACAAUGAUUUGGUAAGGCUUAUUGAAACCUCUGAUGUCAUACUGUCGCGUGAUUUAUAAUGCCUUUCAUUUGUUUGUUUAUGCAUGUUGAUUUACUAUGACAUCAGGUAUCUAAAGAUCAGAGACUCUGCAAGCAGGUUCACUAUCCUUCAGUUCGGCGUUGUCUAUUUCGAUGGGAUUCAUCCGACAGCUUAUCUUGUUUAUGUUGAUGACACAACAAGUGUUCCCAAGAAACUCUCAACCAGAUGUGUAGAAAUUGGUUCUAGUCCAUGAGUUGAAUAUAUCGUUGUCAGAUUGACAUAAUGAUGACUUGGAGGCUUGUAGUGCUCCUAGUUCUCUGAUGGUUAGCCUAAGUUGACAAUGGAGGUACUGACUAACAAUAGAGAUGCUAUUAGUGCUGCAAGAGGAGUAGCUGAAAAGGCUGCAAGAUUUAUUUUUUCUGGGAAAUCUUCAUUGGAUUUUGUAUGGAAAUAAUGGAACAUGUUAGGUAUAUGCUCAGUCUUCUGCUAAAUUGAUUAACUCUUGAGAUUCCGGCUACUUCUAGUGUCCUUCAAACGAAUUCUCCUAAUUCACUCACUAAUGAACAUGAACGAAAGGAAGAUUAGAAGCUAAUUUUGUCCUAAUAGAGUAAACUUGAAAAUUAAAUGGAUAUGAUUCGAUUUUGUUGUAACUCUUGAGCACCUUUCCACUCAUGUACAUGAGGCUACAAAUGCUUCUAGACAAAUUCUCGGAAUACAUGCACGGAUGAAGAUGGAAUAGAAGAAGAUUAGAAAUUUCUUUUAUUUUAGAUGUUUUUUUUUUCGUAGCAUCUAUUUUGGUUUUCUUAUUAUAUAAUUGACAUUAGUUUGAUAUUUUGAUAUAUUUGUAUGACUUACUAUUUUGAAAGUAUAAUGGAAAAUUUCUUUGACUUUGUUUUAAAUUUUGUAUGGUGCUUAUAGAAAGGUUUGUCAAAAU
Molecule: long non-coding RNA, 1678 nt
Organism: Vicia villosa (hairy vetch)
Lineage: Eukaryota; Viridiplantae; Streptophyta; Magnoliopsida; Fabales; Fabaceae
Exons: 5
Source: RefSeq, a predicted model, not a curated record